This 21-nucleotide ribosomal RNA is filed under the name Pseudosagitta maxima. RNAcentral's name for it is "partial 18S ribosomal RNA". Lineage: Eukaryota; Metazoa; Chaetognatha; Sagittoidea; Aphragmophora; Sagittidae. The record is from RNAcentral.
GAACCUGGGGAAGGAUCAUUA